GUCGAGAAUCUUUCACAAUGGGGGCAACCCUGAUGGGGCGACGCCGCGUGGAGGAUAAGGUCUUCGGAUUGUAAACUCCUGUCAUGCGUGAACAAGGUUGCUUGGUUAAUACCUGGGCAAAUUGAUGGUAACGCAAGAGGAAGAGACGGCUAACUCUGUGCCAGCAGCCGCGGUAAUACAGAGGUCUCAAGCGUUGUUCGGAAUCACUGGGCGUAAAGGGUGCGUAGGUGGCGUGGUAAGUCAGAUGUGAAAGCCCGGGGCUCAACCUCGGAACUGCAUCCGAUACUGCCAUGCUAGAGUACUGGAGAGGUGACUAGAAUUCUCGGUGUAGCAGUGAAAUGCGUAGAUAUCGAGAGGAAUACCAAAGGCGUAGGCAGGUCACUGGACAGUUACUGACACUGAGGCACGAAGGCCAGGGGAGCGAACGGGAUUAGAAACCCUAGUAGUCC
RNAcentral lists this ribosomal RNA (449 nucleotides) under uncultured bacterium. RNAcentral describes it as "partial 16S ribosomal RNA". It matches the Rfam family "Bacterial small subunit ribosomal RNA", at positions 354 to 796 of the family's 1533-position model. The record is from RNAcentral.